RNAcentral lists this non-coding RNA (23 nucleotides) under Cricetulus griseus (Chinese hamster). Lineage: Eukaryota; Metazoa; Chordata; Mammalia; Rodentia; Cricetidae. The record is from RNAcentral.
UCAAGGGAGACUGAUAUGUUUGA